This 123-nucleotide ribosomal RNA is filed under the name Glyptotendipes pallens. RNAcentral's name for it is "mature 5.8S rRNA". It matches the Rfam family "5.8S ribosomal RNA", at positions 1 to 125 of the family's 154-position model. From Rfam's summary of the family: 5.8S ribosomal RNA (5.8S rRNA) is a component of the large subunit of the eukaryotic ribosome. It is transcribed by RNA polymerase I as part of the 45S precursor that also contains 18S and 28S rRNA. Functionally, it is thought that 5.8S rRNA may be involved in ribosome translocation. Lineage: Eukaryota; Metazoa; Arthropoda; Insecta; Diptera; Chironomidae. The record is from RNAcentral.
AACCCUAGACUGUGGAUCACUUGGCUCAUGGGUCGAUGAAGACCGCAGCAAACUGCGCGUCGCCGUGUGAACUGCAGGACACAUGAUCAUUGACAUGUUGAACGCAUAUUGCGCCUUUUACAU